AGCGACUGGCUUUGGAUAUGCUUCC
Molecule: microRNA, 25 nt
Filed under: Equus caballus (horse)
Lineage: Eukaryota; Metazoa; Chordata; Mammalia; Perissodactyla; Equidae
Description: eca-miR-9050
Source: miRBase by way of RNAcentral